UGCUACGAGCACUUGUUACCGUUUCUAUGCUGGAGAACCGGCGUUGGUAGUUCAUGUCAGCUCAGGUGGCUUUAUCGAUCCCACGACCUUCUCACCUGGCUGCUCCCAAUCUCGUCCCAUGCAAUACCUGGCGAGGUGGCCUCACCCGGAUUCCGGACAGCUGUUUAUCUAGCUUUGCGUGGAACAUCUUCCCAACUAACUUGCUCGGCUACAAGCCCACCGGCCAAUUUACUGAUGUAAUAACGUAAAUAUGCAUGUACAUAUUCACUAGUACAUAGUUUCUUUGAGGAAACUGCAUUGGUGUGCUCCCACGUAUGAAAGGAGUAAUAAGGACAUGGCUGAAGGCACAUACAUUGCAUAGAUAAGCUUUUGGGUGGAAUUUGUUGACAUCACCCCCACAGUUCCUGUUUUUGUGUUUAGUUCCUUAUCGAUAACGGUAGCAAAAUAAACUCUUUGACAUGACCGAUUGCUAGAAGUUCAUUAGUUAAUUUUAACCUUUCCGGCGUAGACAAGAUAUAUGUAUGUACUGAUUUCAUAUAUGGCUAAAUGAGUAACACACAGUUGUUUUUCUAUUUUCCAGUUACGUUAAUUCACGACGACAAUUAGGUUAUAUUACUGUUAACAAUCUAAUUGUAGCAUAGUUAUGGUACCCAUUUUUUACUAAGUUAACAUUUAGUUUACUACGUUUAGUUUCUUUCGGAGCGUUUACUAUGUCGGGACCUACCCGUAGUUAUCCAUAUUUUCUGUAGAUCUUAAGUUAAUUGAAGUUGUCGACUUUCAAGCCUUUUCCUUGAAAAUAAAUGCUAGUUAGAGUGAAUCAAAUAGUCAUGUGUGUAUAAUAAGAGAUGGAUUUCGGGUAUAUUGCAGAGCGGGAAACGAUUUAAAUAAAUCAUUUGCUAGUAUUUGAAUACAUUUUACAAACUGAGCUAAAAUUAUAUUCAAUUUUAUUCACCAGGCUUCUAUUUAUUCAAUUAUAAUACAUGGCAUUUAAUGAAAAAUAUUGGCAUUAUUAAGGUGAGCGGUGAUUUCUUCCAUUUGAAAUGUUAUUUCGUUUAUUGCUAAUAAAUAUGAGCUGCAUGUCUCCUCAUUCAUGUUUAUAUUACAUUGUUUCUGCACAACUACGAAAGUCGAAUUUUACUGCACUACAUUCCUAUAGACUAGACAUUCUUGCAUAAUAUUUAAAAGAAUACGGCGAUAAUUAUAUACUUUGAUGAAAAUAUGCAUACACAUCAUCAAAAACUAAUAUAAUUCUCAAACCAUAUAUCAUUCUAAAUUAAGCGGGAAAACUGAGUAUAUUUGAAAUGAAACUAAAAAAGCGUUUCAUACUGAAAUUAUUUUGUAUAUAAACUUUCCAGCUGUCCAUAUUGUUUGUUUUUAAGCAUUUGUCCAUAGUAUUUUUGGAAUUAUAAUUUGAUAUUGAUAUAGAUAUAGCGAGAGGAUAUUGUUUUAAUACUUUUCACUUUAAAGUUUUAUUUCUUUUAUGAAAUCUUUUUUUGGUGUUUCGCUCUUACGUUGUGUUGACUUGAAUAAAUAUAUCUGAUGUAUAUUUAGACAAUUUUAUUUAAAAACAUGUUUAAAAUAAAUGUUCCGUUAGUACAAAUUA
RNAcentral lists this long non-coding RNA (1603 nucleotides) under Hermetia illucens (black soldier fly). RNAcentral's name for it is "uncharacterized LOC119651206, transcript variant X1". Lineage: Eukaryota; Metazoa; Arthropoda; Insecta; Diptera; Stratiomyidae. The record is from RNAcentral.